UACGUAGGGCGCAAGCGUUGUCCGGAAUUAUUGGGCGUAAAGGGCUCGUAGGCGGUUUGUCGCGUCGGGAGUGAAAACUCAGGGCUUAACCCUGAGCCUGCUUCCGAUACGGGCAGACUAGAGGUAUGCAGGGGAGAACGGAAUUCCUGGUGUAGCGGUGAAAUGCGCAGAUAUCAGGAGGAACACCGGUGGCGAAGGCGGUUCUCCGUGGUCAUGACCUGACGCUGAGGAAGCGAAAGGUGUGGG
RNAcentral lists this ribosomal RNA (246 nucleotides) under uncultured bacterium. Its description in RNAcentral is "partial 16S ribosomal RNA". It matches the Rfam family "Bacterial small subunit ribosomal RNA", at positions 524 to 766 of the family's 1533-position model. The record is from RNAcentral.